Sebastes umbrosus (honeycomb rockfish) is the source of this 105-nucleotide long non-coding RNA. RefSeq lists it as uncharacterized. The transcript is spliced from 3 exons. The record is from RefSeq and is a predicted model, not a curated record. NCBI's taxonomy places the organism in Eukaryota, Metazoa, Chordata, Actinopteri, Perciformes, Sebastidae.
UAAAGGAUGCAAAAUACAAACUUUCAUCAACUUCAAAUUUGCUGUAAAUGAAUGGGAUCAUUGAGCCUUCAUUGGAAUCGGUAAACAUGCUACAACUGUGUCAAA